This 373-nucleotide ribosomal RNA is filed under the name uncultured bacterium. Its description in RNAcentral is "bacterial SSU rRNA". It matches the Rfam family "Bacterial small subunit ribosomal RNA", at positions 523 to 898 of the family's 1533-position model. The record is from RNAcentral.
CUCCUGAGGAUGCUCGCGUUAUCCUGCUUUAUUUUUUUUACCUUUUGCGCAGGCGGGAUUUUACGUCAGCGGUGAAAUUUUCAGGCUCAACCUGAACACUGCCGUUGAAACUGGGAUUCUUGAGUAUGGAUGAAGUAGGCGGAAUUCGUUGUGUAGCGGUGACAUGCUUAGAUAUAACGAGGAACUCCGAUUGCGUAGGCAGCUUACUAAGCCAUAACUGACGCUCAAGCACGAAAGCGUGGGGAUCAAACAGGAUUAGAUACCCUGGUAGUCCACGCCGUAAACGAUGAUUACUAGUUGUUUGCGAUAUACCGUAAGUGACUAAGCGAAAGCGAUAAGUAAUCCACCUGGGGAGUACGCCGGCAACGGUGAA